Molecule: ribosomal RNA, 663 nt
Filed under: uncultured organism
Description: bacterial SSU rRNA
Rfam family: Bacterial small subunit ribosomal RNA
Source: RNAcentral
GGCUUAGAGUUUGAUCAUGGCUCAGGAUGAACGCUGGCGGCGUGCUUAACACAUGCAAGUCGAACGGAGGACCCUUGACGGAGUUUUCGGACGACAGAUAGGAAUCCUUAGUGGCGGACGGGUGAGUAACGCGUGAGGAACCUGCCUUGGAGUGGGGAAUAACAGCCCGAAAGGGCUGCUAAUACCGCAUGAUGCAGUUGGGUUGCAUGACUCUGACUGCCAAAGAUUUAUCGCUCUGAGAUGGCCUCGCGUCUGAUUAGCUAGUUGGUGAGGUAACGGCCCACCAAGGCGACGAUCAGUAGCCGGACUGAGAGGUUGGCCGGCCACAUUGGGACUGAGACACGGCCCAGACUCCUACGGGAGGCAGCAGUGGGGAAUAUUGGGCAAUGGGCGCAAGCCUGACCCAGCAACGCCGCGUGAAGGAAGAAGGCUUUCGGGUUGUAAACUUCUUUUCUCAGGGACGAAACGAUGACGGUACCUGAGGAAUAAGCUCCGGCUAACUACGUGCCAGCAGCCGCGGUAAUACGUAGGGAGCGAGCGUUAUCCGGAUUUACUGGGUGUAAAGGGCGUGUAGGCGGGACCGCAAGUCAGAUGUGAAAACUAUGGGCUCAACCCAUAGCCUGCAUUUGAAACUGUGGUUCUUGAGUGCUGGAGAAGCAAUCG